AAGAUCACAAUAAUUAUUGCUUAAUUCAUUUUAAGUUUUGACCGAACCAACAAGGCAACAACAAAGUACGACGACAACAUACUAAUCUCUCCAUGAAAUGACAUGUUCCAAAUAUUUUUUCCUUCUUUGUUUGAAACCCCGUUGGCUCAAAUGCUUGCUCGGACGUUUAUGAAACCUUUCUCCUUCAAGGACUCGACGGUCUCCUUGAUGCUAACUUCCAAGGGUAUGUAGUCUAUGCCAAUGCUCUUUAUUUUCUCCUUGGACACUUGAUACGUCGGAACAAACGGAUUCUCAUCCGCACAACUGCAUAUGAAACAACAGCUUUAGAAACAGAAUUUGAACCAGAUCAGUGGUUAUAUUUAAAGAUGUUUUACCUUUCAGGGAGCUGGAGAUUUGGGUAAAGCUGACGCAGAAUGUUCACAAUCUCAGAGUGGUGAAGGACUCUCUCGACCAUACAAUAACGUCCAUUAGCUGAAGGGACCUCAUAUGCUUGAAUGUGCGCAUUGGCUACGUCCUUUACGUUAACCCAU
This 530-nucleotide long non-coding RNA is filed under the name Brassica rapa (field mustard). RNAcentral describes it as "long non-coding RNA (BRAP_LNC007900)". Lineage: Eukaryota; Viridiplantae; Streptophyta; Magnoliopsida; Brassicales; Brassicaceae. The record is from RNAcentral.